Molecule: ribosomal RNA, 1103 nt
Filed under: fungal sp.
Lineage: Eukaryota; Fungi
Description: eukaryotic LSU rRNA
Rfam family: Eukaryotic large subunit ribosomal RNA (bases 515-1103)
Source: RNAcentral
GAAGUUACUCUUCAUACCCUUUUGUGAACCUUACCCCUCGCCGCGCGGUUGCCUCGGCGUGGAGGUCGGGAGUGGGGCCGCCCAGCGCGGACCCCGCCUCCGGCCCCCGCCGGCCGCGCCAAACUCUUAAUUUGCAUAGCGGACUGUAUGUUCUGAUUUAUCUUGAAAAAAACAAGUCAAAACUUUCAACAACGGAUCUCUUGGUUCUGGCAUCGAUGAAGAACGCAGCGAAAUGCGAUAAGUAAUGUGAAUUGCAGAAUUCAGUGAAUCAUCGAAUCUUUGAACGCACAUUGCGCCCGGCAGCAAUCUGCCGGGCAUGCCUGUCCGAGCGUCAUUUCUGCCCUCGAGCUCGGUUCUCUCGAACCGACGCCCGGUGUUGGGGCGCUGCGGGCUCAGCCCCGCAGGCCCUGAAAUGAAGUGGCGGUCCCGCCGCGGCGCCCCCUGCGUAGUAAGUCUUUGCACCUCGCAUCGGGUCCCGGCGUAGGCCAGCCGUCGAACCUAUCUCUUGAUGGUUUGACCUCGGAUCAGGUAGGGUUACCCGCUGAACUUAAGCAUAUCAAUAAGCGGAGGAAAAGAAACCAACAGGGAUUGCCCCAGUAACGGCGAGUGAAGCGGCAACAGCUCAAAUUUGAAAUCUGGCCCCCCCGCGGGGUCCGAGUUGUAAUUUGAAGAGGAUGCUUCUGGCGAGGCGCCGUCCGAGUUCCCUGGAACGGGACGCCGCAGAGGGUGAGAGCCCCGUACGGUCGGACGCCGAGCCUAUGUGAAGCUCCUUCGACGAGUCGAGUAGUUUGGGAAUGCUGCUCAAAAUGGGAGGUAAACCCCUUCUAAAGCUAAAUACCGGCCAGAGACCGAUAGCGCACAAGUAGAGUGAUCGAAAGAUGAAAAGCACUUUGAAAAGAGAGUUAAAAAGCACGUGAAAUUGUUGAAAGGGAAGCGCUUGCGACCAGACUCGCGCCCGUCGGAUCAGCCGUCGCUCGUCGGCGGCGCACUCCGGCGGGCUCGGGCCAGCAUCGGUUCGCCUCGGGGGGAGAAAGGCGGCGGGAAUGUGGCUCUACGGAGUGUUAUAGCCCGCCGUGCAAUACCCCCGGGCGACCGAGACCGCG